RNAcentral lists this ribosomal RNA (253 nucleotides) under uncultured bacterium. RNAcentral describes it as "partial 16S ribosomal RNA". It matches the Rfam family "Bacterial small subunit ribosomal RNA", at positions 524 to 776 of the family's 1533-position model. The record is from RNAcentral.
UACGGAGGAUGCAAGCGUUAUCCGGAUUUAUUGGGCGUAAAGCGUCCGCAGGUGGUUUUCCAAGUCUGCUGUUAAAGCGCGAGGCUUAACCUCGUACAGGCAGUGGAAACUGGAUGACUAGAGUAUGGUAGGGGUAGCGGGAAUUCCCAGUGUAGCGGUGAAAUGCGUAGAUAUUGGGAAGAACACCAGCGGCGAAAGCGCGCUACUGGGCCAUUACUGACACUCAUGGACGAAAGCGUGGGGAGCGAACAGG